GACGAACGCUGGCGGCGCGCUUAACACAUGCAAGUCGAGCGAAGCGGCGGACGGGUGAGUAACACGUGAGUAACCUGCCUUAGACAUAGGGAUAGCCUCGGGAAACCGGGAUUAAUACCAAAUGGUGUAAGAUGGACUCGCGUCCUAUCAGCUUGUUGGUGGGGUAGUGGCCUACCAAGGCGACGACGGGUAGCCGGCCUGAGAGGGCGACCGGCCACAUUGGGACUGAGAUACGGCCCAAACUCUACGGGAGGCAGCAGUAAGGAAUAUUGCGCAAUGGGGGAAACCCUGACGCAGCAACGCCGCGUGGAGGAUGACACUUUUCGGAGCGUAAACUCCUUUUAUCAGGAAAGCGGUACCUGAUGAAUAAGCACCGGCUAACUCCGUGCCAGCAGCCGCGGUAAUUC
This 407-nucleotide ribosomal RNA is filed under the name uncultured bacterium. Its description in RNAcentral is "partial 16S ribosomal RNA". It matches the Rfam family "Bacterial small subunit ribosomal RNA", at positions 28 to 526 of the family's 1533-position model. The record is from RNAcentral.